Molecule: transfer RNA, 73 nt
Filed under: Canis lupus familiaris (dog)
Lineage: Eukaryota; Metazoa; Chordata; Mammalia; Carnivora; Canidae
Also listed under: 1 other name
Rfam family: tRNA
About the family: Transfer RNA (tRNA) molecules are approximately 80 nucleotides in length. Their secondary structure includes four short double-helical elements and three loops (D, anti-codon, and T loops). Further hydrogen bonds mediate the characteristic L-shaped molecular structure. tRNAs have two regions of fundamental functional importance: the anti-codon, which is responsible for specific mRNA codon recognition, and the 3' end, to which the tRNAs corresponding amino acid is attached (by aminoacyl-tRNA synthetases). tRNAs cope with the degeneracy of the genetic code in two manners: having more than one tRNA (with a specific anti-codon) for a particular amino acid; and 'wobble' base-pairing, i.e. permitting non-standard base-pairing at the 3rd anti-codon position.
Source: Rfam by way of RNAcentral
GCUUGGCUGGCUCAGUUGGUGGAGCAUGUGACUCUUGAUCUCAGGGUUGUGAGUUUGAAUCCCAUGUUAUGUG